GACGAACGCUGGCGGCGUGCUUAACACAUGCAAGUCGAACGGUGAAGCUCCAGCUUGCUGGUGUGGAUCAGUGGCGAACGGGUGAGUAAAACGUGAGCAACCUGCCCCUGACUCUGGAAUAAGCGCUGGAAACGGCGUCUAAUACUGGAUACGAGAAGGGUCCGCAUGGGCACUUUCUGGAAAGUUUUUCGGUUGGGGAUGGGCUCGCGGCCUAUCAGCUUGUUGGUGAGGUAAUGGCUCAACAAGGCGACGACGGGUAGCCGGCCUGAGAGGGCGACCGGCCACACUGGGACUGAGACACGGCCCAGACUCCUACGGGAGGCAGCAGUGGGGAAUAUUGCACAAUGGGCGAAAGCCUGAUGCAGCGACGCCGCGUGAGGGAUGACGUCCUUCGGGUUGUAAACCUCUUUCAGCAGGGAAGAAGCGAAAGUGACGGUACCUGCAGAAGAAGCACCGGCUAACUACGUG
This 468-nucleotide ribosomal RNA is filed under the name uncultured bacterium. Its description in RNAcentral is "partial 16S ribosomal RNA". It matches the Rfam family "Bacterial small subunit ribosomal RNA", at positions 28 to 507 of the family's 1533-position model. The record is from RNAcentral.